UACGAAGGGGGCUAGCGUUGUUCGGAAUUACUGGGCGUAAAGCGCACGUAGGCGGAUUUGUAAGUCAGGGGUGAAAGCCCAGGGCUCAACCCUGGAAUUGCCUUUGAUACUGAUUGUCUUGAGUAUGGGAGAGGUGAGUGGAACUCCGAGUGUAGAGGUGAAAUUCGUAGAUAUUCGGAAGAACACCAGUGGCGAAGGCGACUCACUGGCCCAUUACUGACGCUGAGGCUCGAAAGCGUGGGGAGCAAACAGG
Molecule: ribosomal RNA, 253 nt
Filed under: uncultured bacterium
Lineage: Bacteria
Description: partial 16S ribosomal RNA
Rfam family: Bacterial small subunit ribosomal RNA
Source: RNAcentral